Long non-coding RNA from Equus caballus (horse), 2522 nucleotides. Lineage: Eukaryota; Metazoa; Chordata; Mammalia; Perissodactyla; Equidae. The record is from Ensembl.
UACCAUUGAGAGGGACUUAUACAUCCUGUAUUCUGUUGGGAACAUUUCAGGAGGCCAGGGUCUUGGAGGGGGUUAGACACCUGGAAAAACAGCCCUGGGCAAUUGAUCUCCAACCAGUGCAUUCUUACAGUAAGCGCUCAGGAAUGUGCCUGGUGGUCACGAGUUACUUUGCAUCUGGUGAACAUUAGAAAUGUAACCAAAGUCUCCAGAACAGUUGAGAGUGAUUGAGAGACUAAAAAAAAACUCUGCAUAAUGGCAAAAAGACCACCGAAAAACCUUAGGAGUUCUGUCAGCAGAUGGUGGUACCAGCAGCAGGACGCCCUCGCGAGAAAUGACAGCCAGGAUGGUGUCUGGCACAUCCUUACACAAACCAUCAAAGUGCUUCUGCCUCCUAGAGUCUGAAGGCUGCUGAAAACUCUGCUGACCUCACAGUCUGGAGCCCCAGGGGUGAAAUGUCAAAGGCUGCCCAUCACCAUCAACAGAAGAAAAAGCCAAGGAUGGCUGCCUUCUCUCUUCUGCCUUCCAAAUCUGCCACCAAUAGAUCUUACUGGCAGAGCCCAAAUUGUAUCUGAAACCCUGCUGACAAUGGAAUAUGAGAAAUGUUGUUCCCAGUUUUUUAGCCCCUGCGAAACAGGAGCGAUAUGAGUGUAAAAGGGGCCAGGCACCUAUAGACAAUAUCUGGCCCAUUUGUGAAUUACCAAAUUAAUGUGAGUAGUCCUGUUUGACUAGAAUAGAAAAAGCAUUGAAUAUGUAAAGAGAAGACUGAUUGUUGGUUGGAGAGAGUUGGAGAAGGGAAAAGAAAGUGAGAACACUAGACCAAAAAGUGGAAUGGGUUAAAUGGAUAUUUAUUAGAGAUCUAUUAUGGUCCUUAUCCAGCAAAGUUACAUCAUUAAAGCAGUCGUUUAGGACAGUGAUGUCACUGAUGUGAUAGAAACGACUUUGUGUGUGUGUGCUUUGGGAGUGGAAAGAAAGGAGUAAGGUAGAGACUUGAAGUAGGGACACAGUUUAAGAGACAAUUCUAGGAAUCCACAAAUGAGGUUAUGGAGGCUGUGGAUUAGGAUAAAAGUGGCAAGAAUGGAGACAAAAGAGCACAUGUGAGAGAUACGGUCCCUGGGUCCAGAAAGAGAACCUUGUCCCCAAGAAUAUUCUAGUAUCCAGCAGCAGCAGCAUACCACUUGACUGAUCUGUGCCUCCCACCCUGUCUCCUGGAGGAGCAUUUGAAUAGCUGUGAGGAGCUGCCCCUGGCAACGUCACAGCCCCACCAACCAGCCCAUCAGCAAGUCAUUCUUUCCUAAGAAAGGAUCCAGGUUUGCUUCUGCGUUUUUAUCUCCUUUUCUUAUUUCUUUGGAGUAGUUUCUCUAAAUCUGGAAAUGAGGUAAGAUGGGCCGAGAAAUUCCUCACGUUCCCUGUCUCUCCCACUGCCUGAGGAACUCCAAACUCCCUUGUCUCAACAUUCUUACAACUAACUAAUUGCAUUUUUGACUCCAGUCAUAGUGGAACACUGCUUCUGUCAGGCUGAUCUUACCAUUCAUUCAUUCAUUCACUCACAUGCUCUUCAAUCAACAAAUAUUUAUUGAGUAGCUAUUCUGUGCCAGGCCCUGCUGAGGAUUUAAAAGUUAAAAUAACAACAACAACAAAAUCCCUGCAUCAUGGAGCAUACAUCCUAGUAGGGAGAGGCAAACAAGAAGUAAAAUAUAGAGUAUGUUAGAAGAUAAGUGCAGGGAAGAAAAAUAGAGCAAAGUCCACCUUCGUAGAAUUCUCUUUCUUCUUUUUUUUUUUGCUGACUUUCCAAACUCAGCCUGCUUUUUGCGAUUCAGAGCAAAUUGUCUUUCUACUCUGUGCCUUUCCUAGCUUCUUCAGCUCACAACAACCUCAUCUCAUUCAACGCCUCUUCUUCUCUGUCCCUUGUCUUUGCAUACUGUUCAUGCAUGUAACCCUCCAUCUUCUGAAAAGCAUUGUAUAGAAUAGAUGUGCUCAGAUGUAAACAUAGGAGCUUGAGAAUUUUUCUUUUUAAAUGUUCAGUGAGAUCACACGACUUCUGUAGCAAGAUGGUAAUGUUCUAUAAGAGUCUAAUUGAUGUAUGUCAAGUCACGAAGUAAAACUUGGGAGAAUAAGACAUAAUGACCUAUAUUGGAAACGUGGAGUUAGGCAAUAAAAGAGAACGGUGGGGUCAAGGCUUGAUUGGGACAGAUUUACAAGAGAUGAAGAAGUGUUUGUAAUGAGAGGACAGAAGAAGAAAGGGGGUAGAAGGAAUUUAUCUGGAGUAGAACAUUUCGAGAGGAACAUUAUGAGAGGAAUAUCCAAGAAAAAGAACAUGGGGACAUAGAAAGGGGAUAGGUGGAGCAGUCUCUGAAGGAAAAGAAUGUGUUAAUAUAACUCUGUUCAUGAUAAUGCCCUGAGAAGCUGAAUCUUCAUAACCAGAGCAAGGCUAAUCAGAGACACCUUUGAACCAAGAAUCCUCAAAUUUGUUUGGUAAGAAAGAUCCACUGGGGUAUUUUCUAAAAAUAUAAAUUCCUGAUUCU